RNAcentral lists this ribosomal RNA (3154 nucleotides) under biogas fermenter metagenome. Its description in RNAcentral is "bacterial LSU rRNA". It matches the Rfam family "Bacterial large subunit ribosomal RNA". The record is from RNAcentral.
UCAAGCUACUAAGGGCGCAUGGCGGAUGCCUUGGCGCUAGGAGCCGAUGAAGGGCGUGGCAAGCGACGAUAUGCCUCGGGUAGCCGCAAGCAGGCUUUGAUCCGGGGAUGCCCGAAUGGGGAAACCCACUGGGGAUAAUGCCCCAGUAUCCUCAUCUGAAGUAAGUAGGGUGAGGAGGGGAACCGCGGGAACUGAAACAUCUAAGUACCGCGAGGAAAAGAAAGAAAUCUCGAUUCCCUGAGUAGCGGCGAGCGAAACGGGAAGAGCCCAAACCGGUAGCGUGUAAUAGUCUGCAGGCGUUGCGUUACCGGGGUUGUAGGAGCCGUUCGUAGGGUAUCUGCAGGUACUCUAAAUACGGGAUAAGUUUUAGCUGAAGCGGUCUGGAAAGGCCCACCACAGACGGUGACAGUCCGGUAAGCGAAAAGGCUUAUGCUGUAUUAGGAUGGCAUCCUGAGUACCACGGGGCACGUGAAACCCUGUGGGAAACCGGGAGGACCACCUCCCAAGGCUAAAUACUACCUAGCGACCGAUAGUGAACUAGUACCGUGAGGGAAAGGUGAAAAGAACCCCGGGAGGGGAGUGAAAUAGAACCUGAAACCAUGUGCCUACAAAAAGUGGGAGGACCAUCAGGUGCAUUUAGCAUGACUGGGUCUGACCGCGUACUUUUUGCAGAACGGACCGGCGAGUUACAGUAUGUGGCGAGGUUAAGCAGUAGAUGCGGAGCCGUAGCGAAAGCGAGUCUGAAUAGGGCGUGGGCCUUUGGCCUUAAAGUCGCAUGCUGUAGACCCGAAACCGGGUGAGCUACCCAUGGCCAGGGUGAAGCGAGGCUAAUCCCUCGUGGAGGCCCGAACCACGUUGACGUUGAAAAGUCAUGGGAUGAGCUGUGGGUAGGGGUGAAAAGCCAAUCGAACCCGGAGAUAGCUGGUUCUCUCCGAAAUAGCUUUAGGGCUAGCCUCGGGAGUUUACUUAUGGAGGUAGAGCACUGAUCGGGCUAGGGGGCCUGAAAGCUUACCGAACCCUUUCAAACUCCGAAUGCCAUAAGUUAAGAUCCCGGGAGUCAGACUGCGUGCACUAAGGUUCGUAGUCGAGAGGGAAAUAGCCCAGACCCAAAGUUAAGGUCCCAAAGUAUAGGCUAAGUGGGAAAGGAUGUGGGGUUGCCCAGACAGCCAGGAUGUUGGCUUAGAAGCAGCCAUUCAUUUAAAGAGUGCGUAAUAGCUCACUGGUCAAGUGAUUCUGCGCCGAAAAUUCAACGGGGCUAAGCUCGUCACCGAAGCUUCGGAAGAAAGUUUUAUCCACUCUUACCUUUAAAAGUCCGGUGAGGGAGGAAGUUGGAUUUGCUAAAACCCAACCUUUGGUUUGGUCAAAUCAGGAGGGUUUUAGCCAAAUUCCCAGUUAAGCCGUCACCUGAGUUUUAAAGGUAAGGAUAAAACUUUCUUGGUAGGGGAGCGUUCCAACAGCGCCGAAGGCAGCCUGUAAGGGCUGCUGGAGCGGUUGGAAGUGAGAAUGCCGGUAUGAGUAGCGAAAAGAAGGGUGAGAAUCCCUUCCGCCGAAAGCCUAAGGAUUCCUGAGGAAGGCUCGUCCGCUCAGGGUAAGUCGGGACCUAAGGCGAGGCCGAAAGGCGUAGUCGAUGGACAACAGGUUGAAAUUCCUGUACCACCGAGCAUCGCUUGAGCGAAGUGGUGACGCAGAAGGGUAGGUCAUCACCCGGAUGGAUGUGGGUGUCCAAGCGUGUAGAGGGCAAGGUAGGCAAAUCCGCCUUGCAAAACCUUGAGGCGUGAUGGGGAGGCGAAAUUUAGUAGCCGAACUGACUGAUCCCAUGCUGCCGAGAAAAGCCGCUAGCGAGAUGCAAGGUGCCCGUACCGCAAACCGACACAGGUAGGCGAGGAGAGAAUCCUAAGGCGCGCGAGAGAACCCCUGUUAAGGAACUCGGCAAAAUGACUCCGUAACUUCGGGAGAAGGAGUGCCUAAGUAGUGUGAAGUUGAACAGAUGGAGCACGAACAGGCCGCAGAGAAAUGGCCCAAGCGACUGUUUAUCAAAAACACAGGUCUCUGCUAAGUCGAAAGACGAAGUAUAGGGGCUGACGCCUGCCCAGUGCCGGAAGGUUAAGGGGAAGGGUUAGCGCAAGCGAAGCUCCGAACCGAAGCCCCGGUGAACGGCGGCCGUAACUAUAACGGUCCUAAGGUAGCGAAAUUCCUUGUCGGGUAAGUUCCGACCCGCACGAAUGGCGUAACGACUUGGGCGCUGUCUCAACGAGAGGCUCGGCGAAAUUAUAAAUACCCGUGAAGAUGCGGGUUACCCGCGACAAGACGGAAAGACCCCGUGGAGCUUUACUGUAGCCUGAGAUUGGAUUUUGGUGCGUUAUGUACAGGAUAGGUGGGAGGCUUGGAAGGGGCGACGCCAGUUGCCCUGGAGCCGACCUUGGGAUACCACCCUUAGCGUGCUGGAGUUCUAACCCUUAUCCGUGAUCCGGGUGGGGGACAUUCUCUGGUGGGCAGUUUGACUGGGGCGGUCGCCUCCCAAAAGGUAACGGAGGCGCCCAAAGGUUACCUCAGCACGGUUGGAAAUCGUGCAACGAGUGUAAAGGCAUAAGGUAGCCUGACUGCGAGACAGACAGGUCGAGCAGGUACGAAAGUAGGGCUUAGUGAUCCGGCGGUAUGAGAGUGGAAUUGCCGUCGCUCAACGGAUAAAAGCUACCCUGGGGAUAACAGGCUUAUCUCCCCCAAGAGUUCACAUCGACGGGGAGGUUUGGCACCUCGAUGUCGGCUCGUCGCAUCCUGGAGCUGAAGCAGGUUCCAAGGGUUGGGCUGUUCGCCCAUUAAAGCGGCACGCGAGCUGGGUUCAGAACGUCGUGAGACAGUUCGGUCCCUAUCUGUCGUGGGCGCAGGAGAUUUGAGGGGAGCCGUCCCUAGUACGAGAGGACCGGGAUGGAUAUACCGAUGGUGUACCAGUUAUUCCGCCAGGAGUACAGCUGGGAAGCUAAGUAUAGAAGGGAUAAGCGCUGAAAGCAUCUAAGCGCCAAGCCCCCCCCAAGAUGAGAUCUCCCACGGAGUAGUCCGGUAAGACCCCAGAGAGAUUAUCUGGUAGAUAGGCCGGCGGUGUAAGGAUAGUGAUAUCUUCAGCUAGCCGGUACUAAUAGGUCGAGGGCUUGACCUU